RNAcentral lists this ribosomal RNA (253 nucleotides) under uncultured bacterium. RNAcentral describes it as "partial 16S ribosomal RNA". It matches the Rfam family "Bacterial small subunit ribosomal RNA", at positions 524 to 776 of the family's 1533-position model. The record is from RNAcentral.
UACGUAGGUGGCGAGCGUUGUCCGGAUUUACUGGGCGUAAAGGGAGCGUAGGCGGACUUUUAAGUGAGAUGUGAAAUACUCGGGCUCAACUUGAGUGCUGCAUUUCAAACUGGAAGUCUAGAGUGCAGGAGAGGAGAAUGGAAUUCCUAGUGUAGCGGUGAAAUGCGUAGAGAUUAGGAAGAACACCAGUGGCGGAGGCGGUUCUCUGGACUGUAACUGACGCUGAGGCUCGAAAGCGUGGGGAGCAAACAGG